UACGUAGGGGGCAAGCGUUGUCCGGAUUCAUUGGGCGUAAAGAGCUCGUAGGCGGCUUGGCAAGUCGGGUGUGAAAACUUCAGGCUCAACCUGGAGCGGCCACUCGACACUGCCAUGGCUAGAGUCCGGUAGGGGACCACGGAAUUCCUGGUGUAGCGGUGAAAUGCGCAGAUAUCAGGAGGAACACCGGUGGCGAAGGCGGUGGUCUGGGCCGGAACUGACGCUGAGGAGCGAAAGCGUGGGGAGCGAACAGG
Molecule: ribosomal RNA, 254 nt
Filed under: uncultured bacterium
Lineage: Bacteria
Description: partial 16S ribosomal RNA
Rfam family: Bacterial small subunit ribosomal RNA
Source: RNAcentral